Long non-coding RNA from Astatotilapia calliptera (eastern happy), 1045 nucleotides. Lineage: Eukaryota; Metazoa; Chordata; Actinopteri; Cichliformes; Cichlidae. The record is from Ensembl.
GAAAUUCUGUAGUUCGUCUUAGAUGAAUUGAACAAUGCAGUGGUGGGAAAUAAAAGAAACCAACCAGAACCCAGAACUACUUCUGCAGACGUGACUUACAGAAAGCUGUGUGAUAACAGUGUGGCAAGGACUGGUGUCUAAAGGAAGGCAAAAAUAUAAGGGGUUUAAGGGGUUACAUAAAAGCAAUCAAAGAUUAAUAAGCAAUCUUAAUCAUAAUCAAGGUUUUUGUUAGUUAGAAAUGUCCUUCUGUUAAACAAAAACAACAGUUUAUCAGAAAUGUUGUUAAAGAUAAUUGAUGAUUAGUGAAACAAUAAUUGGGAAUUAUGAUUAUUAUCAAAAUAACCACACUGAUAUUCAGAGGCCUGAUUCAGUUUUACAGUGGCACAUUGUGAGCUCUAAUCCAACUUUAUCAUGUUAAAGGAUCAUUAAAAAAAAAAACCAAUUUUGUGUGCUGAAUGAAGAAGCAUGAAAAUCAUUUAGCUGGACUUUUGUAGUGUAACUCUUUCUGGAUUUGACCAUUAUGCCAACAUUUCUGAAAAAAAAAAAGUGUUCUGGUUCUAGGAAGCGAAGGCCAUUCCACAAAAAUUCUAAUAAAAAAAAAGAAAAAGAAAGAAAAUUCAUUGAAUGGAGUGAGCUACUCUCUUCGCAGAAUAACGCAAAUUAACUCUAAACAGGCAAGCAGUUUUCACACAUGUACAGAGGCCUUUACUUUUCUAGACAUCCCUGACAGCACUGCAUGUGAGAAUACAAACUGGGUUUUGAACCUGCCAGCUCCCGAGUAAAAAGAUGUUGGAUUCCACUGAUAUACAAACAGCUAAUAGUGCGGUCCAUUCAGCUACCUGUCGAAAUUUGGACACACUCAUCCACUACAUGAACAAAAGUAUUGAGCCAUGCUUCUUGAUCUUUGAAUUCAAGUGGUUUCAGUACUGUUGCCACAGGUACAGUGGGGCAAAAAAGUAUUUAUUCAGCCACCGAUUGUGCAAGUUCCCCCACAUAAAAUGAUGACAGAGGUCAGUAAUUGGCACCAGAGGUACACUUCAACUGU